AGAAUCAACGCUGGCGGCGUGCCUAACACAUGCAAGUCGAACGAGAAAGUGGAGCAAUCCAUGAGUAAAGUGGCGCACGGGUGAGUAACACGUGACUAACCUACCCUUGAGUGGGGGAUAACUUAGGGAACCUGGGCUAAUACCGCAUAAUACCUUCGGGUCAAAGGAGCAAUUCGCUUAAGGAGGGGGUCGCGGCCGAUUAGUUAGUUGGCGGGGUAAUGGCCCACCAAGACUGUGAUCGGUAU
Molecule: ribosomal RNA, 245 nt
Filed under: uncultured bacterium
Lineage: Bacteria
Description: partial small subunit ribosomal RNA
Rfam family: Bacterial small subunit ribosomal RNA
Source: RNAcentral